RNAcentral lists this ribosomal RNA (495 nucleotides) under uncultured bacterium. RNAcentral describes it as "partial 16S ribosomal RNA". It matches the Rfam family "Bacterial small subunit ribosomal RNA", at positions 28 to 507 of the family's 1533-position model. The record is from RNAcentral.
GACGAACGCUGGCGGCGUGCCUAAUACAUGCAAGUAGAACGCUGAAGGAGGAGCUUGCUUCUCUGGAUGAGUUGCGAACGGGUGAGUAACGCGUAGGUAACCUGCCUGGUAGCGGGGGAUAACUAUUGGAAACGAUAGCUAAUACCGCAUAAGAGUAGAUGUUGCAUGACAUUUGCUUAAAAGUUGCACUUGCAUCACUACCAGAUGGACCUGCGUUGUAUUAGCUAGUUGGUGGGGUAACGGCUCACCAAGGCGACGAUACAUAGCCGACCUGAGAGGGGGAACGGCCACACUGGGACUGAGACACGGCCCAGACUCCUACGGGAGGCAGCAGUAGGGAAUCUUCGGCAAUGGACGGAAGUCUGACCGAGCAACGCCGCGUGAGUGAAGAAGGUUUUCGGAUCGUAAAGCUCUGUUGUAAGAGAAGAACGAGUGUGAGAGUGGAAAGUUCACACUGUGACGGUAUCUUACCAGAAAGGGACGGCUAACUACGUG